Unclassified non-coding RNA from Nomascus leucogenys (northern white-cheeked gibbon), 315 nucleotides. Its record names the gene 7SK. It matches the Rfam family "7SK RNA". Rfam says of the family: 7SK was discovered as an abundant small nuclear RNA in the mid-70s but a possible function has only recently been suggested. Two independent studies have found that 7SK RNA binds the CDK9/cyclin T complex (known as elongation factor P-TEFb). P-TEFb activates transcription by phosphorylating the C-terminal domain of RNA polymerase II. The record is from Ensembl. Lineage: Eukaryota; Metazoa; Chordata; Mammalia; Primates; Hylobatidae.
AGGUGUCAUGCCAUGUGGCACUGACAUCUGUCACCUCAUUGACCCCAGGUUACUUUGGCUGCUUUGCCUGGCAAGGAGGGCACCUGCAUCUUACUUCACAACUCCAUGCUGGGCAUUCCAGGUCUGCAGUUUCUGUGAAGAUGUCAAUCUUCCCACAUGGAGGAGUAUGUUUUAAAAUUAAGGUCAUAGGAAAAAGAAGGUAGCUUUCUAGAACUUCUAAGUAUGCUAUCGAGUCCAUAAAAAGUAUGUUGAUUUUCACUUAUUUCUAGAAAAUUAAGUAUAAAUGGUAGGUUGGAUUUUCACUUUCAACUACUG